RNAcentral lists this ribosomal RNA (447 nucleotides) under uncultured bacterium. Its description in RNAcentral is "partial 16S ribosomal RNA". It matches the Rfam family "Bacterial small subunit ribosomal RNA", at positions 329 to 793 of the family's 1533-position model. The record is from RNAcentral.
CCCCAGACUCCUACGGGAGGCAGCAGUGGGGAAUAUUGCACAAUGGGGGAAACCCUGAUGCAGCGACGCCGCGUGAGUGAAGAAGUAUUUCGGUAUGUAAAGCUCUAUCAGCAGGGAAGAAAAUGACGGUACCUGACUAAGAAGCCCCGGCUAACUACGUGCCAGCAGCCGCGGUAAUACGUAGGGGGCAAGCGUUAUCCGGAUUUACUGGGUGUAAAGGGAGCGUAGACGGCAUGGCAAGUCAGAUGUGAAAGCCCGGGGCUCAACCCCGGGACUGCAUUUGAAACUGUCAGGCUGGAGUGCAGGAGAGGUAAGUGGAAUUCCUAGUGUAGCGGUGAAAUGCGUAGAUAUUAGGAGGAACACCAGUGGCGAAGGCGGCUUACUGGACUGUAACUGACGUUGAGGCUCGAAAGCGUGGGGAGCAAACAGGAUUAGAUACCCCAGUAC